AUGCUCACUUCGGCAGCACAUAUACUAAAAUUGGAAUAAUACAGAGAUUAGCAUAGCCUCUGCACAAGGAUGAUAUGCAAAUUCAAGAAGUGUUUCAUGGUUUU
Molecule: small nuclear RNA, 104 nt
Organism: Ochotona curzoniae (black-lipped pika)
Lineage: Eukaryota; Metazoa; Chordata; Mammalia; Lagomorpha; Ochotonidae
Source: RefSeq, a predicted model, not a curated record